AACGAACGCUGGCGGCAUGCCUAACACAUGCAAGUCGAACGAUGCCUUCGGGCAUAGUGGCGCACGGGUGCGUAACGCGUGGGAAUCUGCCUUUCGGUUCGGAAUAACUCAGGGAAACUUGAGCUAAUACCGGAUAACGUCGCAAGACCAAAGAUUUAUCACCGAAAGAUGAGCCCGCGUAGGAUUAGCUAGUUGGUGAGGUAAAGGCUCACCAAGGCGACGAUCCUUAGCUGGUCUGAGAGGAUGAUCAGCCACACUGGGACUGAGACACGGCCCAGACUCCUACGGGAGGCAGCAGUGGGGAAUAUUGGACAAUGGGCGAAAGCCUGAUCCAGCAAUGCCGCGUGAGUGAUGAAGGCCUUAGGGUUGUAAAGCUCUUCUACCCGGGAAGAUAAUGACGGUACCGGGAGAAUAAGCCCCGGCUAACUCCGUG
This 433-nucleotide ribosomal RNA is filed under the name uncultured bacterium. RNAcentral's name for it is "partial 16S ribosomal RNA". It matches the Rfam family "Bacterial small subunit ribosomal RNA", at positions 29 to 507 of the family's 1533-position model. The record is from RNAcentral.